GAUGAACGCUGGCGGCGUGCUUAACACAUGCAAGUCGAACGGUGAAGCAGGAGCUUGCUCUUGUGGAUCAGUGGCGAACGGGUGAGUAACACGUGAGCAACCUGCCCCUGACUCUGGGAUAAGCGCUGGAAACGGCGUCUAAUACUGGAUAUGUGAUGUGACCGCAUGGUCUGCAUCUGGAAAGAAUUUCGGUUGGGGAUGGGCUCGCGGCCUAUCAGCUUGUUGGUGAGGUAAUGGCUCACCAAGGCGCCGACGGGUAGCCGGCCUGAGAGGGUGACCGGCCACACUGGGACUGAGACACGGCCCAGACUCCUACGGGAGGCAGCAGUGGGGAAUAUUGCACAAUGGGCGGAAGCCUGAUGCAGCAACGCCGCGCGAGGGAUGACGGCCUUCGGGUUGUAAACCUCUUUUAGCAGGGAAGAAGCGAAAGUGACGGUACCUGCAGAAAAAGCACCGGCUAACUACGUGCCAGCAGCCGCCGUAA
Molecule: ribosomal RNA, 484 nt
Filed under: uncultured bacterium
Lineage: Bacteria
Description: partial 16S ribosomal RNA
Rfam family: Bacterial small subunit ribosomal RNA
Source: RNAcentral